This 474-nucleotide ribosomal RNA is filed under the name uncultured bacterium. RNAcentral describes it as "bacterial SSU rRNA". The stretch from base 1 to 425 matches the Rfam family "Bacterial small subunit ribosomal RNA", at positions 130 to 540 of the family's 1533-position model. The record is from RNAcentral.
CAUGGCGGCCGCGGGWAUUCGAUUGGAAACAGGUGCUAAUACCGGAUAAUAACAGAUGAUGCCUAUCAACUGUUUAAAAGAUGGUUCUGCUAUCACUCUUGGAUGGACCUGCGGUGCAUUAGCUAGUUGGUAGGGUAACGGCCUACCAAGGCGAUGAUGCAUAGCCGAGUUGAGAGACUGAUCGGCCACAUUGGGACUGAGACACGGCCCAAACUCCUACGGGAGGCAGCAGUAGGGAAUCUUCCACAAUGGACGCAAGUCUGAUGGAGCAACGCCGCGUGAGUGAAGAAGGUUUUCGGAUCGUAAAGCUCUGUUGUUGGUGAAGAAGGAUAGAGGUAGUAACUGGCCUUUAUUUGACGGUGAUCAACCAGAAAGUCACGGCUAACUACGUGCCAGCAGCCGCGGUAAUACGAUAAUCACUAGUGAAUUCGCGGCCGCCUGCAGGUCGACCAUAUGGGAGAGCUCCCAACGCGU